Bactrocera oleae (olive fruit fly) is the source of this 1507-nucleotide non-coding RNA. NCBI's taxonomy places the organism in Eukaryota, Metazoa, Arthropoda, Insecta, Diptera, Tephritidae. The record is from RefSeq and is a predicted model, not a curated record.
CUCAGUGGAUCUUUACGAGCGCUCUUUCAUAAAUUGCUGAGUAAGCUUUUUUUCCAACAUAAAACGCAACGCACUUACGCUCUUUGUAUUCAGCCACUUGUAAGCGUGCUCAGUUUAAACAAUUUCCAGUUGUCAAAACACGAAAAGCCAAACAUCAGUCGCCGGAACAACUCUUUCUUAUACAUUUACAUUCGGGAUCUCAAAUAAAAGGACAUAAGUUCAAAAUAUAAUAUUGAACCUCAAACACAGCUGGAAUAAACUGUUACAAUAACAUUGGUAUUCUGCUGACGCCCAUAAAUAUUUCAAAAAAGAAAAAACUUAAUAAAAAUAAAAAUAAAACAAAUCAAUGAUUGAACUUAAAAAUUAAUUAAAGUAAACUUGAAAAAAGCAAAGUGCAAUAAUUAUAUAACUCAUGUGUGUGGAGUGAAACCCGACGUUGUCAACAAAAAUACAAGCGCAUCGAAUUCGCGAAUUAUUAAACGAAUUUCAAAGCUGUCACAUAUUAAAGCACUUAAGUGAGUCGCUCCGCGCCGAAUCCAAGAGGAGGCUUCACAAAAGCUUACGAAAAAUCCAAAAAUUGCUGCAUAUUAAAAAUAACAGCCAAGCAUACAAAUAAACACAUUUAUUGGAUAUGUGAUUUGUGUGCUCUACAGUUGCAAUUGCAUAUAUUCGUACGUUGGUUUGUUUGUACAUGCGAGGCACAUACACGGCGCAGGCAAAAAAUUAGCAAAUCGCCAGGCCAACACCGUUAACACGAACAGUUUUCGCACAUGCGCGCAGCCAUAAACAAAUAAUAGCCGAAAACGCAAAGACGAAGAGCUCACCGCAUUUUGGCCCAGCGUGAGCUGCAAUCAAUUGUCACUUUGGUAAAGCACCGACGAUGGUGAUGGUGGCGUUUGGCCGCGCUUUCAAUUGCGUCAUGGAAGGUUUACAAAUUCUUUUAGGUCAUUUAUUUGAUAUUCUCAAGAUUUACCUCAAGUUCGGCCUUAUUACUUUGGUGUUUUACUUUGUGGCCGAAUGGUAUAUACUGCAUUAUGUCGAUUUCAAUACGUUCCAGGAACCGCAGCCCCUGAUGAAACCGGCCAGUAAUAGUACUGCUAGUAAAGUGUAUCGUUUUGUUCUGGAUUUUUUUCUAGGCUAGCCAUAGAUAGAUGUUGAUUUAGUUUAGUUAUAUGAAAUUAGUAUUAUUUUAAUUUUUAUUUAAUUUGUAUGUUUAAUGUUAUAGUUUUGAAAAUGUUCAUGUCGAAAAUAAAAUCAAAACGGAAACGUAUAUACGUUUAACUACUGCGGAAGACUUAGACUUUUUAAUAUUAAUGAAAAACAAAGGACAAGGUCUUUGAUUACGUCACCUUAGUUUUGAAUAAAAUAUGAUAAUCAGUUUACUUAAGCACUAUAAAUAAGUAUUAGAUGAUAUUAAAAAUGUAAAACUUAUGAAAGUAAAUAAAAAUGUAUUUUCGUAUAAAAUUUAACUUACUGUUUAAUGCAAAGCGCUUUUAAAUUAUUACAA